RNAcentral lists this ribosomal RNA (841 nucleotides) under uncultured bacterium. Its description in RNAcentral is "bacterial SSU rRNA". It matches the Rfam family "Bacterial small subunit ribosomal RNA", at positions 28 to 863 of the family's 1533-position model. The record is from RNAcentral.
GACGAACGCUGGCGGCGUGCCUAACACAUGCAAGUCGAGCGGAGACAUGCGAGCGGAAGGAUUCGUCUGGAAGCAUGUAUGUUUUAGCGGCGGACGGGUGAGUAACGCGUGAGCAACCUGCCCUUCACAGGGGGAUAAGACCGCGAAAGUGGUUCUAAUACCGCAUGAGACCACGGUGCCGAGUGGCACAGGGGUCAAAGGAGCAAUCCGGUGAAGGAUGGGCUCGCGUCCGAUUAGAUAGUUGGUGAGGUAACGGCCCACCAAGUCAACGAUCGGUAGCCGACCUGAGAGGGUGAUCGGCCACAUUGGGACUGAGACACGGCCCAGACUCCUACGGGAGGCAGCAGUGGGGAAUAUUGGGCAAUGGGCGAAAGCCUGACCCAGCAACGCCGCGUGAAGGAAGAAGGUCUUCGGAUCGUAAACUUCUGUCCUCAGAGACGAGAAGAAGACGGUAACUGAGGAGGAAGCCCCGGCUAACUACGUGCCAGCAGCCGCGGUAAUACGUAGGGGGCGAGCGUUGUCCGGAAUGAUUGGGCGUAAAGGGCGCGUAGGCGGCCCGAUAAGUCUGAAGUGAAAGUCCUGUUUUCAAGAUGGGAAUUGCUUUGGAUACUGACGGGCUUGAGUGCAGGAGAGGUUACUGGAAUUCCCAGUGUAGCGGUGAAAUGCGUAGAGAUUGGGAAGAACACCAGUGGCGAAGGCGAGUAACUGGACUGUAACUGACGCUGAGGCGCGAAAGUGUGGGGAGCAAACAGGAUUAGAUACCCUGGUAGUCCACACUGUAAACGAUGAAUGCUAGGUGUAGGAGGUAUCGACCCCUUCUGUGCCGCAGUUAACACAAUAA